CGCCGGCGUCUUUAAGAAAGUGUUCAAAUAGUCCAAGGCGCCCGACCACUGCAGCGUGGCCGUCAGCACGAUGUUGAAAAUUGCGAACGGCAUGAGGUACUUCCAACCAAAACUCAUCAGCUGAUCGAAACGAAAGCGCGGGAAAGUACCGCGCAGCCAGAUAUAGAAAAAGAGAAACAGCACGACCUUGCCAAAAAAGUAGAAGAUGCCAAGCCACGGAACCUGAUGCACGAACGGG
RNAcentral lists this unclassified non-coding RNA (238 nucleotides) under uncultured bacterium. RNAcentral's name for it is "contains 16S-23S intergenic spacer region". The record is from RNAcentral.